This 77-nucleotide transfer RNA is filed under the name Escherichia coli. RNAcentral's name for it is "tRNA-Arg". It matches the Rfam family "tRNA". Rfam says of the family: Transfer RNA (tRNA) molecules are approximately 80 nucleotides in length. Their secondary structure includes four short double-helical elements and three loops (D, anti-codon, and T loops). The record is from RNAcentral. Lineage: Bacteria; Pseudomonadati; Pseudomonadota; Gammaproteobacteria; Enterobacterales; Enterobacteriaceae.
GCGCCCUUAGCUCAGUUGGAUAGAGCAACGACCUNCUAAGUCGUGGGCCGCAGGUUCGAAUCCUGCAGGGCGCGCCA